Molecule: transfer RNA, 73 nt
Filed under: Mus musculus (house mouse)
Lineage: Eukaryota; Metazoa; Chordata; Mammalia; Rodentia; Muridae
Description: tRNA-Ser
Source: RNAcentral
GGAGAGGUGGCUCAGCGGUUAAGAGCACUGACUGCUCUUCUGGAGUUCCUGAGUUCAAUUCCCAGCAACCACA